Molecule: long non-coding RNA, 428 nt
Organism: Toxorhynchites rutilus septentrionalis
Lineage: Eukaryota; Metazoa; Arthropoda; Insecta; Diptera; Culicidae
Exons: 3
Source: RefSeq, a predicted model, not a curated record
UAGCAUGUGUAACCUUGAGUAUUUUCAUUUCUAACAACUGUGUGUGUGCGCAACCGCCAUUUCUCUAAUGGAAGCGAAGCGAUUUGGAGCCUAAAAUCGUAGAAUCCAUAGCAAAAGUUUCAUGCAGCCGAGGCCAAAAACGGCGGAUGUCGCCGUGCACAAUUGAUUGAUGAUCCGAUUAUUGUUUGAUUUUUCCUACUAUGCAGCGUCCAUUGGGAUUUCCAGUAAAAAUAGCCGUCUCGUUCUAAUGAUUCAUGCGUCAAUUAAAUCUAUCAUGAUCUCAAUCUCAAUGAGUGCUUGUUUGGAAUGCGACACCAGCCAUUUUAUCAUCACCGAGCUGAACAAAAACACAAUGUUGCAAAACUCCCACGAUACACACGAUUACAAAUGGUCACAAUAAACGUACGCAAGUGAAGUCGGUCACAUAA